UAGAAGUUUGUGGAGUUCUCUUAAUUGUUUAGCAUUCGGGGUUUUAAGGGCUAAAGUUCUUACUACGAACAAGUAAGUUUUUUGAUGAGUGACUUAUGAUUCAGACAAGUGGUGUGUUUAUCUGUCUUGGGUUUAUUCUGGGAUUGCUGU
RNAcentral lists this transfer RNA (150 nucleotides) under Nodularia spumigena CCY9414. RNAcentral's name for it is "tRNA-Pro". Lineage: Bacteria; Bacillati; Cyanobacteriota; Cyanophyceae; Nostocales; Nodulariaceae. The record is from RNAcentral.